Molecule: transfer RNA, 76 nt
Filed under: Candidatus Phascolarctobacterium equi
Lineage: Bacteria; Bacillati; Bacillota; Negativicutes; Acidaminococcales; Acidaminococcaceae
Description: tRNA-Phe
Rfam family: tRNA
About the family: Transfer RNA (tRNA) molecules are approximately 80 nucleotides in length. Their secondary structure includes four short double-helical elements and three loops (D, anti-codon, and T loops).
Source: RNAcentral
GCCUCGGUAGCUCAGUUGGUAGAGCAAAGGACUGAAAAUCCUUGUGUCCGCGGUUCGAUUCCGCGCUGAGGCACCA